This 550-nucleotide ribosomal RNA is filed under the name Eunotia sp. RNAcentral describes it as "SSU rRNA". It matches the Rfam family "Eukaryotic small subunit ribosomal RNA", at positions 583 to 1136 of the family's 1831-position model. Lineage: Eukaryota; Bacillariophyta; Bacillariophyceae; Eunotiales; Eunotiaceae. The record is from RNAcentral.
UUCCAGCUUUCCCAUAGCGUAUAUUAAAGUUGUUGCAGUUAAAAAGCUCGUAGUUGGAUUUGUGGCAGGUGCGUGCGGCCCGACACUGUGUGUUGGUGUUUGUGCGCGUCGCCAUCCUUGGGUGGAACCUGUGUGGCAUUAGGUUGUCGUGCAGGGGAUGCCCAUCUUUUACUGUGAAAAAAUUAGAGUGUUCAAAGCAGGCUUAUGCCGUUGAAUAUAUUAGCAUGGAAUAAUGAGAUAGGACCUUGGUACUAUUUUGUUGGUUUGCGCACCAAGGUAAUGAUUAAUAGGGACAGUUGGGGGUAUUCGUAUUCCAUUGUCAGAGGUGAAAUUCUUGGAUUUCUGGAAGACGAACUACUGCGAAAGCAUUUACCAAGGAUGUUUUCAUUAAUCAAGAACGAAAGUUAGGGGAUCGAAGAUGAUUAGAUACCAUCGUAGUCUUAACCAUAAACUAUGCCGACAAGGGAUUGGCGGGGUUACAUUUUGUCUCCGUCAGCACCUUAUGAGAAAUCACAAGUCUUUGGGUUCCGGGGGGAGUAUGGUCGCAAGG